Molecule: small RNA, 144 nt
Filed under: Acinetobacter brisouii
Lineage: Bacteria; Pseudomonadati; Pseudomonadota; Gammaproteobacteria; Moraxellales; Moraxellaceae
Description: Manganese sequence
Rfam family: Manganese Mn2+ riboswitch aptamer (yybP-ykoY) (bases 1-129)
About the family: This RNA was originally discovered in E. coli during a large scale screen and was named SraF. The family was later found to exist upstream of related families of protein genes in many bacteria, including the the yybP and ykoK genes in B. subtilis.
Source: RNAcentral
ACACACUUCAUUGGGGAGUAGCCGCUAUUUACGUUUGUAAAUAGAUGAUGGUCAACAUACUUGUUCUGAACCGAACAUGGUCAUCAUAGCAAAGAACCAAAUGAGCUUUUCACCAAGCUUUCUUUUGUUGGCAAGACCUUUGAU